UACAGAGGGUGCAAGCGUUAAUCGGAAUCACUGGGCGUAAAGCGUGCGUAGACGGUUAUGUAAGUCGGGUGUGAAAGCCCCGGGCUCAACCUGGGAAUUGCAUUCGAGACUGCAUAGCUAGGGUGCGGAAGAGGGAAGCGGAAUUUCCGGUGUAGCGGUGAAAUGCGUAGAUAUCGGAAGGAACACCAGUGGCGAAAGCGGCUUCCUGGUCCAGCACCGACGUUCAGGCACGAAAGCGUGGGGAGCAAACAGG
RNAcentral lists this ribosomal RNA (253 nucleotides) under uncultured bacterium. RNAcentral describes it as "partial 16S ribosomal RNA". It matches the Rfam family "Bacterial small subunit ribosomal RNA", at positions 524 to 776 of the family's 1533-position model. The record is from RNAcentral.